Molecule: ribosomal RNA, 406 nt
Filed under: uncultured bacterium
Lineage: Bacteria
Description: partial 16S ribosomal RNA
Rfam family: Bacterial small subunit ribosomal RNA
Source: RNAcentral
AUUGAACGCUGGCGGCAGGCCUAACACAUGCAAGUCGAACGAGUGGCGGACGGGUGAGUAAUGUCUGGGAAAAUGCCCGAUGGAGGGGGAUAAAUACUGGAAACGGUAGCUACUACCGCAUACCAUCGGAUGUGCCCAGAUGGGAUUAGAUAGUAGGUGGGGUAACGGCUCACCUAGGCGACGAUCCCUAGCUGGUCUGAGAGGAUGACCAGCCACACUGGACCUGAGACACGGUCCAGACUCCUACGGGAGGCAGCAGUGGGGAAUAUUGCACAAUGGGCGCAAGACUGAUGCAGCCAUGCCGCGUGUAUGAAGAGGGCCUUCGGGUUGUAAAGUACUUUCAGCGAGGAGGCGUUACUCGCAGAAGAAGCACCGGAUAACUCCGGGCCAGCAGCCGCGGUAAUUC